AGAGUUUGAUCAUGGCUCAGGACGAACGCUGGCGGCGUGCUUAACACAUGCAAGUGGAGCGACGAACCAGGGCUUGCCCUGGGGCAGAGCCGCGAACGGGUGAGUAACACGUGGGUAACCUGCCCCGAUGACCGGGACAACCCGAGGAAACUCGGGCUAAUACCGGAUGUGCUCGUUUCUCGUAAGGGAACCGAGCAAAGAUAGCUUCGGCCUUCGCAUCGGGAGGGGCCCGCGGCCCAUUAGCUUGUUGGUGAGGUAACGGCUCACCAAGGCUGCGAUGGGUAGCUGGUCUGAGAGGAUGAUCAGCCACACUGGGACUGAGACACGGCCCAGACUCCUACGGGAGGCAGCAGUGGGGAAUCUUGCGCAAUGGGGGAAACCCUGACGCAGCGACGCCGCGUGGGCGAUGAAGGCCUUCGGGUCGUAAAGCCCUGUCGAGCGGGACGAAACGUGCGAGCUCUAACAUAGCUCGUGCCUGACGGUACCGCUAGAGGAAGCCCCGGCUAACUCCGUGCCAGCAGCCGCGGUAAUAC
RNAcentral lists this ribosomal RNA (533 nucleotides) under uncultured bacterium. RNAcentral describes it as "bacterial SSU rRNA". It matches the Rfam family "Bacterial small subunit ribosomal RNA", at positions 8 to 526 of the family's 1533-position model. The record is from RNAcentral.